RNAcentral lists this long non-coding RNA (926 nucleotides) under Vulpes vulpes (red fox). RNAcentral's name for it is "lncRNA (ENSVVUG00000018484.1)". The record is from RNAcentral. Lineage: Eukaryota; Metazoa; Chordata; Mammalia; Carnivora; Canidae.
CCUUGGAAAGAUGAGGAGGGAUUUUUAAUAUGUUCAGAAAUAUUUAUCAGUGCAGAAACUGAAUGUUUAGAAGCCACUGCAAUGAAGAUUAAAUUGGAGCAUUCAGGUUAAUGGAUGGCUAACAUUGUACUGAAGUCUUUAAUACAGGACAGGGAUCAUUUUCGGUACUUUACGAAGACUUUAUUUUAUUUUGAUAAUUCUGUAAGUAUUCUAUCAGGGUCCAGGGAGAAAACACUUAGGAUGCUUACUUAGGGCAAUCUGAGGAGAGAUCAAUCAAGGGACUGAUUCAAAUGUGUGCUUUAGAAACAGGGACGCCAAAAGAUGCACGCGGUAUCCCUGGGGUAGAACAAAAGGGGCUCUGUUGCUACCAGUAGCACUGAAAGGGCAGAGAGAGGAAGUGGUAAUUAUACCAGCACAUAGAGAGGGGAGGGUGCAGGAGGCCAUGUUAUGGGAGCUGAGAUCACAAUGGAGCCAUGCCAAUGCCUUGACCUUGCAAGAGAACCAGAGCCAGUGGAAGGAACACUAUAUCAGCGAGAUGCCAGAAAAACAAAAGGAAACAAAAAACAAUGCUCCCACUGUGGCCAGGCUCGGGCUACCUACCGCAGCCCCCGAGGCGGAGAGGCAGGCAGUCGCCUGCACAAACGCCACUGGAGCCACCUGCAGCACAUCGCUGGCUGUGCCAGGUGAUGCCAUUAACUUCCAGCUCCCUCUUCAUGAGCCUGGAACUGCAUCCUACGACCACUUCUCCUGCACCAGUUGACCCUGUGAGGCAUUCUGCUAGGAGGCCACAGGAGAGAUACUGGAAGACCAGGGCAGGCCCAGAUCUUUGUCCGUGGCUCUGCUGCCCUCUCCUCCAGCAAAGCAGCCAAUGGAUUAUGAAGGAAAAGAUAAACAGCCAUGAUAGAAAGUUUCCCAGCCAGUUGUGA